This 616-nucleotide ribosomal RNA is filed under the name uncultured bacterium. Its description in RNAcentral is "bacterial SSU rRNA". The stretch from base 1 to 522 matches the Rfam family "Bacterial small subunit ribosomal RNA", at positions 338 to 873 of the family's 1533-position model. The record is from RNAcentral.
CCUACGGGAGGCAGCAGUGGGGAAUAUUGGACAAUGGGCGAAAGCCUGAUCCAGCAAUGCCGCGUGAGUGAUGAAGGCCUUCGGGUCGUAAAGCUCUUUUACCAGGGAUGAUAAUGACAGUACCUGGAGAAUAAGCUCCGGCUAACUCCGUGCUAGCAGCCGCGGUAAUACGGAGGGAGCUAGCGUUGUUCGGAAUUACUGGGCGUAAAGAGUACGUAGGCGGUUAUUCAAGUCAGAGGUGAAAGCCCGGGGCUCAACCCCGGAACUGCCUUUGAAACUAGAUAACUAGAGUCUUGGAGAGGUUAGUGGAAUUCCGAGUGUAGAGGUGAGAUUCGUAGAUAUUCGGAAGAACACCAGUGGCGAAGGCGACUAACUGGACAAGUACUGACGCUGAGGUACGAAAGCGUGGGGAGCAAACAGGAUUAGAUACCCUGGUAGUCCACGCCACUAACGAUAGAUAACUAGUUGUUCGGUCGUACUUGUGACUGAGUGACGCAGCUAACGACAUUAAGUUAUACCGUCCGUCGGGUAGGUACGGUCGCGAGAAGUAAACUAACAAAUAGAAGUUAGUAACGGUCGUGUUAGACGUGCCGACGGACGACGACGAGGGAGGAGG